UGGGGAAUUUUGGACAAUGGGCGCAAGCCUGAUCCAGCAAUGCCGCGUGCAGGAUGAAGGCCUUCGGGUUGUAAACUGCUUUUGUACGGAGCGAAAAGGUCUGCCCUAAUACGGUGGGCUCAUGACGGUACCGUAAGAAUAAGCACCGGCUAACUACGUGCCAGCAGCCGCGGUAAUACGUAGGGUGCGAGCGUUAAUCGGAAUUACUGGGCGUAAAGCGUGCGCAGGCGGUUAUAUAAGACAGAGGUGAAAUCCCCGGGCUCAACCUGGGGACUGCCUUUGUGACUGCAUAGCUAGAGUACGGUAGAGGGGGAUGGAAUUCCGCGUGUAGCAGUGAAAUGCGUAGAUAUGCGGAGGAACACCGAUGGCGAAGGCAAUCCCCUGGACCUGUACUGACGCUCAUGCACGAAAGCGUGGGGAGCAAACA
RNAcentral lists this ribosomal RNA (427 nucleotides) under uncultured bacterium. Its description in RNAcentral is "bacterial SSU rRNA". It matches the Rfam family "Bacterial small subunit ribosomal RNA", at positions 355 to 774 of the family's 1533-position model. The record is from RNAcentral.